AACUAACGCUGGCGGCGUGCCUAACACAUGCAAGUCGUACGAGAAAGCCGGCUUCGGCUGGUGAGUAAAGUGGCGCACGGGUGAGUAACGCGUGGAUAAUCUGCCCUUAAGUGUGGAAUAACGUACCGAAAGGUGCGCUAAUACCGCAUAAUGCCUGGCAACACAAGUUGUCCGGCCAAAGAAGGCCUCUGUUUACAAGCUUUCGCUUCAGGAUGAGUCCGCGUACCAUUAGCUUGUUGGUGGGUAAUGGCCUACCAAGGCUGCGAUGGUUAGCUGGUCUGAGAGGAUGAUCAGCCACACUGGAACUGAGACACGGUCCAGACUCCUACGGGAGGCAGCAGUGAGGAAUAUUGCGCAAGUGGGGGCAACCCGUGACGCAGCAACGCCGCGUGAGUGAGGUAAGGUUUUCGGACUGUAAAGCUCUGUCGAGGCGGGAAGAAGUGUACCAGUGGCUAAUAUCCAUGUAUUAUUUGACGGUACCGCGUAGAGGACG
RNAcentral lists this ribosomal RNA (493 nucleotides) under uncultured bacterium. RNAcentral describes it as "bacterial SSU rRNA". It matches the Rfam family "Bacterial small subunit ribosomal RNA", at positions 29 to 490 of the family's 1533-position model. The record is from RNAcentral.